GUCCCAUGCCAAAUCUGAAUUAUUUGUGUGUUUGAAUAUUAAAAAUAUUUACUAAAAUUUCAAUGGCUUGCUUGGUUUAAGGAUCAUUUACAGCAUUACGCUUUCGAUUCUCAAUUUUAGUA
Bradysia coprophila is the source of this 122-nucleotide long non-coding RNA. The record is from RefSeq and is a predicted model, not a curated record. NCBI's taxonomy places the organism in Eukaryota, Metazoa, Arthropoda, Insecta, Diptera, Sciaridae.